Molecule: ribosomal RNA, 248 nt
Filed under: uncultured Planctomycetales bacterium
Lineage: Bacteria; Pseudomonadati; Planctomycetota; Planctomycetia; Planctomycetales
Description: partial 16S ribosomal RNA
Rfam family: Bacterial small subunit ribosomal RNA
Source: RNAcentral
GUCGGGAGUUAGGAAAUGUAAGUGCGCUAAUAUCGCAUUUAUUUGACGAAGGCUCCAGAGGAAGUCACGGCUAACUCUGUGCCAGCAGCCGCGGUAAUACAGAGGUGGCAAGCGUUGUUCGGAAUUAUUGGGCGUAAAGAGCACGUAGGUGGGUUUGUAAGUCAGAUGUGAAAGCCUUCUGUUCAACGGAAGAAUUGCAUCUGAAACUACGAAUCUUGAGUGUAGGAGGGGAGAGUGGAACUUCUGGU